AUACUUUCCUGGCACGGAGACACCAGGAUCUCUAAGGUGGUUUUCUCAGGGUGAGGCCGAUUCACUCCCCUGGGUAUUGGCUGAUCCUGUGAUUUGCUGAUGUGACAAAAUUCCACUGAGUGAUUUGUGCUGGAGGUGGGCUUCCGUGAGCUAUUU
Small nuclear RNA from Dasypus novemcinctus (nine-banded armadillo), 156 nucleotides. Its record names the gene U1. It matches the Rfam family "U1 spliceosomal RNA". From Rfam's summary of the family: U1 is a small nuclear RNA (snRNA) component of the spliceosome (involved in pre-mRNA splicing). The record is from Ensembl. NCBI's taxonomy places the organism in Eukaryota, Metazoa, Chordata, Mammalia, Cingulata, Dasypodidae.